GGGUCAGUAGGUUGGUCUUGCCACCGGUACGUACUGGUCUCACUGAUUCCUCCUUCCUGAAGAACCGUAAUGCCACUAAUUUGGUGUUGCGGGGAAACAGGACUGUUACUUUGAAAAAAUUAGAGUGUUUAAAGCAAGCUAACGCUUGAAUACAUUAGCAUGGAAUAAUGAAAUAGGACGAUCGAUCCUAUUUUGUUGGUUUCUAGGAUUGACGUA
This 216-nucleotide ribosomal RNA is filed under the name Glomeromycotina sp. Its description in RNAcentral is "partial small subunit ribosomal RNA". The stretch from base 87 to 216 matches the Rfam family "Eukaryotic small subunit ribosomal RNA", at positions 733 to 864 of the family's 1831-position model. The record is from RNAcentral. Lineage: Eukaryota; Fungi; Glomeromycota.